RNAcentral lists this transfer RNA (73 nucleotides) under Stegodyphus mimosarum. It matches the Rfam family "tRNA". Rfam says of the family: Transfer RNA (tRNA) molecules are approximately 80 nucleotides in length. Their secondary structure includes four short double-helical elements and three loops (D, anti-codon, and T loops). Lineage: Eukaryota; Metazoa; Arthropoda; Arachnida; Araneae; Eresidae. The record is from Rfam by way of RNAcentral.
GCCUUCGUGGUGUAGUGGUCAGCACGCUGGGCGCGUAUUCCAGAGGUCCGUGGUUCGAGUCCCGGUGAAGGCU